GUGCUCGCUUCAUCAGCACAUAUACUAAAAUUGAAAUGAUACAGAGAUUAGCAUGGCCCCUGCACAAGGAUGACACAUAAAUUUGUGCAGUGUUCCAUAUUUUU
Molecule: small nuclear RNA, 104 nt
Organism: Callithrix jacchus (white-tufted-ear marmoset)
Lineage: Eukaryota; Metazoa; Chordata; Mammalia; Primates; Cebidae
Source: Ensembl